This 301-nucleotide ribosomal RNA is filed under the name uncultured bacterium. RNAcentral's name for it is "partial 16S ribosomal RNA". It matches the Rfam family "Archaeal small subunit ribosomal RNA", at positions 459 to 759 of the family's 1478-position model. The record is from RNAcentral.
CAGCCGCCGCGGUAAAACCAGCAGCCCAAGUGGUGGUCGCGAUUAUUGGGCCUAAAGCGCUCGUAGCCGGGCCGGUAAGUCCCUUGUGAAAUCGGACGGCCUAACCGUUCGGCGUGCAAGGGAUACUGUCGGUCUUGAGGCCGGGAGACGUCCGAGGUACUCCGGGGGUAGCGGUGAAAUGUUCUGAUCCUCGGGGGACCACCGGUGGCGAAGGCGUUCGACGAGAACGGGCCUGACGGUGAGGGGCGAAGGCUAGGGGAGCAAACGGGAUUAGAUACCCCCGUAGUCCCUGUCUCUUAUA